This is a non-coding RNA of Setomelanomma holmii, 82 nucleotides long. The record is from the annotation of a GenBank genome assembly. NCBI's taxonomy places the organism in Eukaryota, Fungi, Ascomycota, Dothideomycetes, Pleosporales, Phaeosphaeriaceae.
GGUGGUAUAGUUUAGAGGUAGAAUAUCACAUUGUGGUUAUCGUAAUUCUGUGAAGACGGGGGUUCGAUUCCCCCUACCGCCA